This 29-nucleotide non-coding RNA is filed under the name Rattus norvegicus (Norway rat). The record is from RNAcentral. Lineage: Eukaryota; Metazoa; Chordata; Mammalia; Rodentia; Muridae.
UACAUAUGUAUGCUUUUCUCUGCCCCCAA